This 72-nucleotide transfer RNA is filed under the name Bos taurus (domestic cattle). It matches the Rfam family "tRNA". From Rfam's summary of the family: Transfer RNA (tRNA) molecules are approximately 80 nucleotides in length. Lineage: Eukaryota; Metazoa; Chordata; Mammalia; Artiodactyla; Bovidae. RNAcentral also lists the same sequence under 5 other names. The record is from Rfam by way of RNAcentral.
UCCCUGGUGGCUCAGACAGUAAAGAAUCUGCCUGCAAAGCAGGAGACCUGGGUUCGAUCCCUGGGUUGGGAA